AAGGAGUCUAACAUGUAUGCGAGUAUUUGGGUGGCAAACCCGAAUGCGUAAUGAAAGUGAACGAGUGGGACCGGGCUUGCCUGGGCACCAUUGACCGAUCUUGAUAUCUCUUGAUAGAUUUGAGUAAGAGCAUAUCUGUUGGGACCCGAAAGAUGGUGAACUAUGCCUGAAUAGGGCGAAGCCAGAGGAAACUCUGGUGGAGGCUCGUAGCCGUUCUGACGUGCAAAUCGAUGGUCAAAUUUGGGUAUAGGGGCGAAAGACUAAUCGAACCAUCUAGUAGCUGGUUCCCUC
This 291-nucleotide unclassified non-coding RNA is filed under the name uncultured fungus. Its description in RNAcentral is "partial contains 5.8S rRNA, ITS2 and 28S rRNA". It matches the Rfam family "Eukaryotic large subunit ribosomal RNA", at positions 668 to 961 of the family's 3401-position model. The record is from RNAcentral. Lineage: Eukaryota; Fungi.